RNAcentral lists this ribosomal RNA (120 nucleotides) under Octopus vulgaris (common octopus). The record is from RNAcentral. Lineage: Eukaryota; Metazoa; Mollusca; Cephalopoda; Octopoda; Octopodidae. RNAcentral also lists the same sequence under 1 other name.
GCUUACGGCCAUAUCACAUUGAAAGCACCGGUUCUCGUCUGAUCACCGAAGUUAAGCAACGUCGAGCCUAGUCAAUACUUAGAUGGGUGACCGCUUGGGAAAACCUAGGUGCAGUAAGCA